AUGGCGGCCGGCGGCGCCGGGCACCGGCGGUACCGCGCGGGCCGCGUCCCCGGGGCGCUCCUCGCCGCGCCGCGCCUCGCCGCGCCGGCAGCUCCGCAGCCCCGUGGCGGCGGUGGGGAAGCUCCGCCGGGCUUCCCGCGCCACUCCGCGCAGGCCCGCGGGUCGCGCCGCCGGCUGGCAGCGGCCGAGCCGAGCCGAGCCGCCCGCACCCUACGGAGCGCCCCCCGCGGGCCGGGCUCGCAUGGCCGCCGGCCCCGCCGGGCGUCCGCAGGCAGCGGCUCCGGCCCCCGAGCGGGCGUGUGGCGGCGGCUCGGCGUGCGGACGGAUCCCCAACCGCGGGUGGGAGGAGGCAGGGAGAGAAGGAGGGCCCGAGAGAGGGAGGCGCUCCCCUUUCUCCGCGCGGGGCUGGCGGCGGCUGCGGCGCUUGUCGCCGGGCGGUGCGCGGCCACCGAGCGCUCGGCGCGGCGCCUCAGAGGCGGAGCGGGACGGGGCGGGCGGUGCGCUCAGGGCUCCGCGCCGCCGCUCCCCCUAGCAGCGCGGCGGGCAGCCGUGCAUCUCCCCGAGGCGGCAGAGCGAGCCGCGGCACCGGCAUCGGGCAUCGGGCUGCAGGCGGCGGGCACCGGGUCGCCGCGAUCCGCCCGCCCGCCCCCGGCUGCGGAGACGCGGGGCGCCGCUCCUCCUUCCCGCGGCGGGUCCGCGCCUGGCCGUCACGCCUUCUGCUGCGGACAGCGGGCGGGCAUCGCGCCGGGGCGCGGCGGGACGGGCGCUGCCAGCGGGCGGGGGGCGGGACGGGCGGCCGCCGCCCGGCCGAGGGUGCGCUGCGGCGGGGCCGCGGGCUCAGAGCCGGCAGCGGGGUGGGACCGGGUGGAGGAAAGGAGGGACGGAGGGAGCGGGCGGGGGACGCGGGGGGAGCGAGCAGCGCGUCAGGCGGUGCCCGGCUGCUGCGAGCCGCUGCCUGCGGCCGCCCGCAUCCCCGCCUCCGCCUCACACCUCUGCCUCCGCCCGCUGUGGCGGUGGGCAGGCCCGGCCGGCAGCCGACCCACCGCCCCGGGGCUGAGACCGGGAACCUGGGCAGGAGCGGGAACGGAACCGGCCGCGGCCCCACAGCGCCCGGCAGCCAACGCCGGUGGCAGCAGCCGCUCGCUCUGCCUCCAUCCUCCGCCCGCGGAGCUUUAA
This 1176-nucleotide long non-coding RNA is filed under the name Coturnix japonica (Japanese quail). RNAcentral's name for it is "lncRNA (ENSCJPG00005008007.1)". Lineage: Eukaryota; Metazoa; Chordata; Aves; Galliformes; Phasianidae. The record is from RNAcentral.